RNAcentral lists this ribosomal RNA (439 nucleotides) under uncultured bacterium. RNAcentral describes it as "partial 16S ribosomal RNA". It matches the Rfam family "Bacterial small subunit ribosomal RNA", at positions 339 to 795 of the family's 1533-position model. The record is from RNAcentral.
CUACGGGUUGCUGCAGUGAGGAAUAUUGCACAAUGGGGGGAACCCUGAUGCAGCAACGCCGCGUGGAGGAUGACGCAUUUCGGUGUGUAAACUCCUUUUAUAUGUCAAGAAAAUGACGGUAGCAUAUGAAUAAGCACCGGCUAACUCCGUGCCAGCAGCCGCGGUAAUACGGAGGGUGCAAGCGUUACUCGGAAUCACUGGGCGUAAAGGACGCGUAGGCGGGUUGGAAAGUCAGGUGUGAAAUCCUACAGCUUAACUGUAGAACUGCACUUGAAACUUCUAAUCUAGAGUAUGGGAGGGGGAGAUGGAAUUAGUGGUGUAGGGGUAAAAUCCGUAGAUAUCACUAGGAAUACCGAAAGCGAAGGCGAUCUCCUGGAACAUUACUGACGCUAAGGCGUGAAAGCGUGGGGAGCAAACAGGAUUAGAUACCCUUGCAGUC